Molecule: ribosomal RNA, 253 nt
Filed under: uncultured bacterium
Lineage: Bacteria
Description: partial 16S ribosomal RNA
Rfam family: Bacterial small subunit ribosomal RNA
Source: RNAcentral
UACGAAGGGGGCUAGCGUUGCUCGGAAUUACUGGGCGUAAAGCGUCCGCAGGUGGCACGGUCAGUGGGGUGUGAAAGCCGGUGGCUUAACCGCCGGAGGCCAUCCCAAACUGCCGCGCUGGAGUCGGGCAGAGGGUGCCGGAAUUGCCGGUGUAGUGGUGAAAUGCGUAGAUAUCGGGAGGAACACCAGUGGCGAAGGCGGCUUCCUGGCCUGUUCUUGACGCUGAGGCGCGAAAGCUAGGGUAGCAAGCGGG